GGCGUGCUUAACACAUGCAAGUCGAACGGAAAGGCCCUGCUUUUGUGGGGUGCUCGAGUGGCGAACGGGUGAGUAACACGUGAGUAACCUGCCCUUGACUUUGGGAUAACUUCAGGAAACUGGGGCUAAUACCGGAUAGGAGCUCCUGCUGCAUGGUGGGGGUUGGAAAGUUUCGGCGGUUGGGGAUGGACUCGCGGCUUAUCAGCUUGUUGGUGGGGUAGUGGCUUACCAAGGCUUUGACGGGUAGCCGGCCUGAGAGGGUGACCGGCCACAUUGGGACUGAGAUACGGCCCAGACUCCUACGGGAGGCAGCAGUGUGGAAUAUUGCACAAUGGGCGGAAGCCUGAUGCAGCAACGCCGCGUGAGGGAUGACGGCCUUCGGAUUGUAAACCGCUUUCGCCUGUGACGAAGCGUGAGUGACGGUAAUGGAUGAAGAACCAUCGGCUAACUACGUGCCCAGCAGCCGCGGUGAUACGUAGGGUGCGAGCGUGUCCGGGAUUUAUGGGGCGUAAAGGGGCUCGUAGGUGGUUGAUCGCGUCGGGAAGUGUAUUCUGGGGGCUUACCCCUGAGCGUGCUUUCGAUACGGGGUGACUGAGGGAAGGUAGGGGAGAAUGGAAUUUCNUGGUGGAGCGGUGGAAUGCGCAGAUAUCAGGAGGAACACCAGUGGCGAAGGCGGUUCUCUGGGCCUUUCCUGACGCUGAGGAGCGAAAGCGUGGGGAGCGAACAGGCUUAGAUACCCUGGUAGUCCACGCUGUAAACGGUGGGUACUAGGUGUGGGGUCCAUUCCACGGGUUCCGUGCCGUAGCUAACGCUUUAAGUACCCCGCCUGGGGAGUACGGCCGCAAGGCUAAAACUCAAAGGAAUUGACGGGGCCCCGCACAAGCGGCGGAGCAUGCGGAUUAAUUCGAUGCAACGCGUAGAACCUUACCUGGGUUUGACAUGGAUCGGGAGUGCUCAGAGAUGGGUGUGCCUCUUUUGGGGUCGGUUCACAGGUGGUGCAUGGCUGUCGUCAGCUCGUGUCGUGAGAUGUUGGGUUAAGUCCCGCAACGAGCGCAACCCUUGUUCACUGUUGCCAGCACGUUAUGGUGGGGACUCAGUGGAGACCGCCGGGGUCAACUCGGAGGAAGGUGGGGAUGACGUCAAGUCAUCAUGCCCCUUAUGUCCAGGGCUUCACGCACGCUACAAUGGCUGGUACAGAGAGUGGCGAGCCUGUGAGGGUGAGCGAAUCUCGGAAAGCCGGUCUCAGUUCGGAUUGGGGUCUGCAACUCGACCUCAUGAAGUCGGAGUCGCUAGUAAUCGCAGAUCAGCAACGCUGCGGUGAAUACGUUCCCGGGGCUUGUACACACCGCCCGUCAAGUCAUGAAAGUUGGUAACACCCGAAGCCGGUGGCCUAACCGUUGUGGGGGAGCCGUCGAAGGUGGGACUGGUGAUUAGG
Molecule: ribosomal RNA, 1435 nt
Filed under: uncultured organism
Description: 16S ribosomal RNA
Rfam family: Bacterial small subunit ribosomal RNA
Source: RNAcentral